This 304-nucleotide ribosomal RNA is filed under the name Desmocerus californicus dimorphus. RNAcentral's name for it is "partial small subunit ribosomal RNA". Lineage: Eukaryota; Metazoa; Arthropoda; Insecta; Coleoptera; Cerambycidae. The record is from RNAcentral.
UAAAGAUUUUGGCGGUAUUUUAGUCUAUUCAGAGGAAUCUGUCCUAUAAUUGAUAAUCCACGAUUUAAUUUACUUUUAGAAAAAAUUUAUAUAUCGUCGUAGUUUGAAUAUUUUAAAAGAAUUUUAAUGUUCAAAAUUUUUUUAUAAAAUUAAAUCAGAUCAAGGUGUAGUUUAUAUAAAAGAAGAGAUGGAUUACAUUAAAUUUAUUUAAAGAUUAAUUUUUGUAAAAUUUUAUGAAUAUGGAUUUGAUAGUAAUUUUUUUAAAAUUUUAAAAAUGAUUUAAGCUCCAAAAUAUGUACACAUC